GAAUGUUUAUGAGGCCUGAAUGUUUGUAUGAUGACUGUCACGUUUCUUAUUUACUUUAGACGCUGAAUGUAUCUCUGAAUAUAUCUGUGCGCGGAGACAAUCUUGCGGCCAAUGUGGGGCCUUCACGGAUACAGUUCGAUGUUAAAGACAGUACUAUCGGCCCGAUUACGACCAGAGGAUUAGACUUUGUUGCAAACAUCAUUCUCAACUCGUUCAUCAUACCAAAGCUUAACAAGGUUGGAAAACAGGGACUACCAAUUACAAAAUUAGACAACGUUAAACUUGUGAACCCGAGCGUAGAACUAAUGCAGAAUUCCGUUGUGAUCGCUGCGGAUGUGGCGUAUCUGUAGUCCGCACAGAAGAUUCGGAGGACUUUCAUUGGAUAAAUCCAAUGUCCAAGCACCAGUUUUAUUUUAUUGGUCGUCAAUGUCAGAUUUCUUUCACCAGUGACAGUAUCAAUGCAUUUCCACAACUUUGUGCGACUUUGUUUUUAACAGUGUAUUUUACGUUUUAUUACCACGAAUGCACUUGAUAUUCCAAGUUCUACCUGUAUGACAAGC
Molecule: long non-coding RNA, 560 nt
Organism: Lingula anatina
Lineage: Eukaryota; Metazoa; Brachiopoda; Lingulata; Lingulida; Lingulidae
Source: RefSeq, a predicted model, not a curated record